Molecule: ribosomal RNA, 250 nt
Filed under: Haemophilus influenzae
Lineage: Bacteria; Pseudomonadati; Pseudomonadota; Gammaproteobacteria; Pasteurellales; Pasteurellaceae
Description: partial 23S ribosomal RNA
Rfam family: Bacterial large subunit ribosomal RNA
Source: RNAcentral
GGACCGGAGUGGACGCAUCACUGGUGUUCCAGUUGUCUCGCCAGAGGCAUUGCUGGGUAGCUAAAUGCGGAAGAGAUAAGUGCUGAAAGCAUCUAAGCACGAAACUUGCCAAGAGAUGAGUCAUCCCUGACUUUAAGUCAGUAAGGGUUGUUGUAGACUACGACGUAGAUAGGUCAGGUGUGUAAGUGUAGUGAUACAUUGAGCUAACAGAUACUAAUUGCCCGAGAGGCUUAACUAUACAACGCUCAAG